This 439-nucleotide ribosomal RNA is filed under the name uncultured bacterium. Its description in RNAcentral is "partial 16S ribosomal RNA". It matches the Rfam family "Bacterial small subunit ribosomal RNA", at positions 339 to 795 of the family's 1533-position model. The record is from RNAcentral.
CUACGGGAGGCACCAGUGGGGAAUAUCGCACAAUGGGGGAAACCCUGAUGCAGCAACGCCGCGUGGAGGAUGACACAUUUCGGUGCGUAAACUCCUUUUAUAGGUCAAGAUAAUGACGGUAGCCUAUGAAUAAGCGCCGGCUAACUCCGUGCCAGCAGCCGCGGUAAUACGGAGGGCGCAAGCGUUACUCGGAAUCACUGGGCGUAAAGAGCAUGUAGGCGGGUUAAUAAGUCAGAAGUGAAAUCCAAUAGCUCAACUAUUGAACUGCUUUCGAAACUGUUAACCUAGAGUGUGGGAGAGGUAGAUGGAAUUUCUGGUGUAGGGGUAAAAUCCGUAGAGAUCAGAAGGAAUACCGAUUGCGAAGGCGAUCUACUGGAACAUUACUGACGCUGAGAUGCGAAAGCGUGGGGAGCAAACAGGAUUAGAUACCCGCGUAGUC